RNAcentral lists this ribosomal RNA (1065 nucleotides) under Xylomyces chlamydosporus. RNAcentral's name for it is "SSU rRNA". It matches the Rfam family "Eukaryotic small subunit ribosomal RNA", at positions 76 to 1128 of the family's 1831-position model. Lineage: Eukaryota; Fungi; Ascomycota; Dothideomycetes; Jahnulales; Aliquandostipitaceae. The record is from RNAcentral.
CUAAUGCAAAACUGCGAAUGGCUCAUUAAAUCAGUUAUCGUUUAUUUGAUAGUACCUUUACUACACGGAUAUCUGUGGUAAUUCUAGAGUUAAUACGUGCUAAAAACCCCGACUUCGGGAGGGGUGUAUUUAUUAGACUAAAAACCCAACGCCCUUUCGGGGCUCUUUGGUGAUUCAUAAUAACUCAACGAAUCGCAUGGCCUUGAGCCGGCGAUGGUUCAUUCAAAUUUCUGCCCUAUCAACUUUCGAUGCUAGGGUAGUGGCCUAGCAUGGUGACAACGGGGUAACGGGGGAUUAGGGUUCUAUUCCGGAGAGGGGAGCCCGAGAAACGGCUACCACAUCCCAAGGAAGGCAGCAGGCGCGCAAAUUACCCAAUCCCGACACGGGGAGGUAGUGACAAUAAAUACUGAUACAGGGCUCUUUUGGGUCUUGUAAUUGGAAUGAGUACGAUUUAAACACCCUAACGAGGAACAAUUGGAGGGCAAGUCUGGUGCCAGCAGCCGCGGUAAUUCCAGCUCCAAUAGCGUAUAUUAAAGUUGUUGCAGUUAAAACGCUCGUCGUUGAACCUUGGGCCUGGGCGAUCGGUCCCCCUCACCGGGAGCACUGGUUCGGCCGGGCCUUUCCUUCUGGGGAUCCGCAUGCCCUUCACUGGGCGUGCCGGGGAACCAGGACUUUUACUUUGAAAAAAUUAGAGUGUUCAAAGCAGGCCUUUGCUCGAAUACCUUAGCAUGGAAUAAUAGAAUAGGACGUGCGGUCCUAUUUUGUUGGUUUCUAGGACCGCCGUAAUGAUUAAUAGGGUCAGUCGGGGGCAUCAGUAUUCAAUUGUCAGAGGUGAAAUUUCUUUAGAUUUAUUGAAGACUAACUACUGCGAAAGCAUUUGCCCAAAGGAUGUUUUCAUUAAUCAGUGAACGAAAGUUAGGGGAUCGAAGACGAUCAGAUACCCGUCGUAGUCCUAACCAUAAACUAUGCCGACUAGGGGAGUCGGGGGGUAUACUCCACUUUUUUGGGUUGCCUCGGCACCUUACGAGAAAUCAAAAUGUUUGGGUUCUUGGGGGGGGAGUAUAG